CCUACGGGUGGCAGCAGUGGGGAAUAUUGCACAAUGGGGGAAACCCUGAUGCAGCGACGCCGCGUGAAGGAUGAAGUAUUUCGGUAUGUAAACCUCUAUCUGCAGGGACGAUAAUGACGGUACCUGACUAAGAAGCCCCGGCUAACUACGUGCCAGCAGCCGCGGUAAUACGUAGGUGGCAAGCGUUAUCCGGAUUUACUGGGCGUAAAGGGAGCGUAGGCGGUUUAGUAAGUGAGAAGUGAAAGCCCGGGGCUCAACUCCGGGACUGCAUUUGAAACUGUUGAACUAGAGUGCAGGAGAGGUGAGUGGAAUUCCUAGUGUAGCGGUGAAAUGCGUAGAGAUUAGGAGGAACACCAGUGGCGAAGGCGACUUACUGGACUGUAAAUGACGCUGAGGCUCGAAAGCGUGGGGAGCAAACAGGAUUAGAUACCCUAGUAGUC
RNAcentral lists this ribosomal RNA (440 nucleotides) under uncultured bacterium. RNAcentral describes it as "partial 16S ribosomal RNA". It matches the Rfam family "Bacterial small subunit ribosomal RNA", at positions 338 to 795 of the family's 1533-position model. The record is from RNAcentral.